AGGUGUGGAUACAAAACUGCUCUGCCAAAAUAUUUUCUGUAAGAUCGACAGCUCACACACAACCGAAUGGGAUACACACCAGGAGUAACAUACAGCUGGAUUUACAGGUAUUUGAGAAGGUCUAGUACUCCUUUGCAUUCAUGUUGAUGUGUGUAAAUCAACAGAACUGUGCUCAGUUUUCCCAGGAGACUGAUGAUGAGCGCACACCAUUGAGAAAGGGGCAGUGCUGAACAGAAUGUGGAGGGAGAUGGUCCUACGUGUUCAUCAGUAAGAAAAUCUAUUGUGUCUAUUCCUUGAAUUGCUCUGACUGUAAAAUGGAAUGACUUUCUAAAACAAAUUUCAUUAACAAGAGUAAAUAAAUGCUGACUGUAUGAGAGAUAAAUGAUACAGAGGCAUUAUCUGUGUCCAGCUGGGUAAAUCUGAAUCCUCUGUGAUGGAAGUUUC
Molecule: long non-coding RNA, 444 nt
Organism: Lagopus muta (rock ptarmigan)
Lineage: Eukaryota; Metazoa; Chordata; Aves; Galliformes; Phasianidae
Exons: 3
Source: RefSeq, a predicted model, not a curated record